This 234-nucleotide long non-coding RNA is filed under the name Chlamydomonas reinhardtii. RNAcentral describes it as "long non-coding RNA (CREI_LNC000110)". Lineage: Eukaryota; Viridiplantae; Chlorophyta; Chlorophyceae; Chlamydomonadales; Chlamydomonadaceae. The record is from RNAcentral.
CAGGAAAUCCGGGGGGGAAGCCGACGCAAACACGGCACGCGUGCCCGCACCAUGCCCGAAUCGGUGUGAAUCUGGAUUUGCGCGGUCAUAGUCUUCUAGCGGAAUUUCCUUCAACUCAUUAUGCUCAUAUUGUUGUAAGAGAACACAGCUGCAGUGCGGAGAGCAGCCAUGGUUCGCAAACUUCGACGGACAUCCCUUCCAGCACCCCUCGCGCCCCUCGCCCAGCCACGGCGC